GCAUCCAUGGCUGAAUGGUUAAAGCG
Molecule: transfer RNA, 26 nt
Filed under: Cerastium arvense
Lineage: Eukaryota; Viridiplantae; Streptophyta; Magnoliopsida; Caryophyllales; Caryophyllaceae
Description: partial tRNA-Ile
Source: RNAcentral